This 55-nucleotide transfer RNA is filed under the name Lithobates magnaocularis (northwest Mexico leopard frog). Its description in RNAcentral is "Rana magnaocularis (northwest Mexico leopard frog) partial tRNA-Ala". The record is from RNAcentral. Lineage: Eukaryota; Metazoa; Chordata; Amphibia; Anura; Ranidae.
GCAAGAUAUUAACUUACAUCUUUUGAAUGCAACUCAGACCCUUUAAAUUAAGAUA